UAUGCAUCAUAUCAUCCAUUUUUUUUAAUAAAUAAAAUUAUUUUAUAAAGCCAAUCUAUUUUUGUUUUCUCUCUCUCCAUCUCUGCAUUGAAAAUUCAAAUUUGCUUGAACUAUUUUAAAAACCAGUUUAAAACAAUUUUGAAAAGAGAAGAUAAAGAGUUUUUAAAAUAAAACCUAACCUAAUCUGGGCUGUCCUCUUCCUCUGGCCCAUCUCUGCUUCCAGCCUGAUCCAGACCAUCUCUCCCUCCCUUCCUUCUUCUUUUCGGCCCAAGCCCACUCCUCUUUCAGCCAACGUACCCCUUCGGGACGGAGAGCUUCUCCUCAUGUCGCUUUCUUCUUCACACACGGUGGCGUGACCACCACCGCACAUGGUUGCCUCACCCACCUGCUCCCUCUCCCCUUUUAUCCCCCUUCCCAAAAUCAGCAAACCCUAGCUCCCACCAACCCUAGCUCGCCUCCCUCCUUGCGCCGCCACCCCUCUCACCUAUCUCUUUCUCUCUGUGAGCAAACGAAACACGAGAAACCCCACAAGAAAGCACCCACCUCGCCAUGGCGCCGUCACUACACACCAUCCCCCGCCGUUCUGAGGGCACCGGCGGAUCCGCCUCGUCGAGUUCUACGUCGUGGUGCAAGGAAUCGAGUCAAUACCCCGUAAAUCGAGCGCGAGGUCGCCGUUUCUCCUCCAUGGCCGCCAUGCUCCGGCGUCGAUUCCGGCCGCCCUCGUCCUCCUCCGGCCAAACCGAGCGCACCUCCGGCUUCCUUGUGUUCUCGCGCAUCCCCGACGCCAAGUUCACCGUCCCGUUUCGCCCUGGCCUGCUGGAUCCAUGAGCGACCAGAGCUCCUCCGCCAUGGUCUUCAUCCUGGAGCUCCGCGUGUCUGCUUCAGGUUGCUGGGAGCCCAUCUCUUGACACCAUCCAGGCAGCAGCUCGACUGAUCUGGCGCUGAGAUAUGCAUCAAUUUCCGUGGAGCCUUUCCAUAAUCAACAUCACGAGCCUAAUCCAUCUGAUCUGGCGUCCCAUGGGCCUGGCCCGAGAUCAGCUGGCUCAGUCCAUCGCCUGCCUUGCGACCAGAAGCUAUCCGUCGCCCGCAGCAGGCCAGGUCGGGCCCAUGACAGUGCAGCAUUUGCCUCUUCCCGGAUAGGAUCGCGAAGUGGUGUUGUGAGAUACGACAAGUUCUCCAGAUGUUCCUCGGCAAGCUUUAACAGGCAAGCAUUUCCCCUAUACUCCUGCCCCUGCAGAAGUCGCUCACCUAUUUUAUUUUGCCUUCUCCCUCAUGCUAUCCUUAAGUUGCGUUCUUGUCACGUGUCCUGUCCACUUGUUACCUCAAGCAGCCCAUAUUGCCACCACCACCUCCUACGGCUAUUGUUUGGUUAUCGAGUCUGCCCUUGCGAGUCGUAGUGCAUGCUAGUGUUGUUUUAUCUCGUUACCGUUAUUGUUAUCUUAUCGGGUUAUAUGUUGGGAAGAAUCAUGGUUACUUUAGUUGUUGACAUUUGUUUAGCGGAGGCAUCGGUGGGUCAGCUGAUCGUUUUAUGACGGCUCACUUGUGUUUCCUUAAUAUCUUAGGACCCCGAGUUCUUGUUAUCUGUUCCGAGACUGAGCGCUCUAACCACACGUGGGUAUGCUUACCGGGUCUCCUCUCGACCACUGCCGGAAUCUACAGCUUUGUCCAGUGGCCACAACUAGUUUGGAUGUUUGUUUUGUUUCUCCCGGGCGUGCAAGCAUGUUUCUUUGUGGUCAGAUGAUAUGAUGUUACUUUUGGGGAAGCCGUGAGUGCCUUGUAACCCUGUUGUCUCUUGCACGCUCGUAGGUGCGGUCCGCAUUGUUAAGAGGUCAUCCUCUAGUGGGCUCUGAUCCUCUUAGCCGUUCUCGCAAUAGCUAGGUCCGCGUCAGAGUUUCGAUCGGGCUCUGAAACGGGUUAAACUUAGUUAGGUGGCUUCCUGGACAUUGUUGUAGUGAAGGAGAGUGCGUGUCGUGAUAUCCACCUGUCGUAAGUGGGUUGAUCGUACGUGUGGGCACAUUUGGGCACCCCUGCAGGGUUACAAUCUUAUCGAUAAGCCGUGUCCGCGGUUAUGGACGACUUGGAGCUGUAUGACUCGAUCAUAGACAACUUACACAUGUUGUUUCAAUCAUAAUAACUUGUGUAGUAAGUUAGCACAACUUCAAUAAUAAAUGGUUAAAACUUGACAACCGUGUGGGUGCCUUUGUAAGUACUUCUUUGCGAAGGGGGAAAACGUUGGCUGUGUUAUGUUUGCAGAGUAUAGAACUGUUAGCUUAUGCGCUCUCUCACCUUCUCUGAUUAGACGAAUGUUGUAGAGUGUCUCUAUAGGUUUUUAGUGCUUGCGCGCUGCCGCUUAACCCCACCAUAUUGUUCAUGACGUUCCUCUUGCGUCCUCUAAGUCCCCUGCGUGCCUCAAGUACAAAGGACGACUGGUUGACGAAUGCUUAUACGUCUUGAAGUCUUGUUAAGUACGAACCCGUACUUAUUGCUGCUUCUACGGGAUAUAACCGGGCAGGUAUGAAGAUAUGUUCGAUGAAGACGACGUUAGCAAGGUUACCCUUCCAGCUUGGCCUGGGCAGGGUUAUGGACGCCACUGGUUAUCUUCAGGACUCUUAGUCCAAUUUGUAUCUUGUCCGUACUCGGAUGUAUUUGCUCUUCUGUAUGAUUUGGAUCUUUGUAUUGUAUAUUUGUAUCUUGACUCGUUGGAGUCGUUGUUGUAAUAUAUGUAUCUUGUGGGCUCUAUUGUAAUCC
This is a non-coding RNA of Lolium perenne, 2748 nucleotides long. Lineage: Eukaryota; Viridiplantae; Streptophyta; Magnoliopsida; Poales; Poaceae. The record is from RefSeq and is a predicted model, not a curated record.